AGAGUUUGAUCCUGGCUCAGAAUCAACGCUGGCGGCGUGCCUAACACAUGCAAGUCGAGCGAGAACGGGGACUUCGGUUCCUUAGUACAGCGGCGCACGGGUGAGUAAUACGUGGGUAAUCUGCCCCGGAGCGGGGAAUAACAUCGGGAAACCGAUGCUAAUACCGCAUACGAUCACAGAAUCUUCGGAAUUUGUGAUGAAAGGCUUCGGCCACUCUGGGAGGAGCCCACGCCCGAUUAGCUAGUUGGUGAGGUAAGAGCUCACCAAGGCUGCGAUCGGUAGCCGGUCUGAGAGGACGGUCGGCCACACUGGAACUGAGACACGGUCCAGACUCCUACGGGAGGCAGCAGUGGGGAAUAUUGCACAAUGGGGGAAACCCUGAUGCAGCCAUGCCGCGUGUAUGAAGAAGGCCUUCGGGUUGUAAAGUACUUUCAGUUGUGAGGAAGGCAGUAAAGUUAAUAGCUUCAGCGUUUGACGUUAGCAACAGAAGAAGCACCGGCUAACUCCGUGCCAGCAGCCGCGGUAAUACGGAGGGUGCGAGCGUUAAUCGGAAUUACUGGGCGUAAAGCGCAUGCAGGUGGUUUGUUAAGCAAGAUGUGAAAGCCCAGGGCUCAACCUUGGAACUGCAUUUUGAACUGUCAGACUAGAGUACUGUAGAGGGUGGUGGAAUUUCCAGUGUAGCGGUGAAAUGCGUAGAGAUUGGAAGGAACAUCAGUGGCGAAGGCGGCCACCUGGACAGAUACUGACGCUGAGGUACGAAAGCGUGGGGAGCGAACAGGAUUAGAUACCCUGGUAGUCCACGCCGUAAACGAUGUCUACUAGCCGUUGGGAGACUUGAUUUCUUAGUGGCGCAGCUAACGCACUAAGUAGACCGCCUGGGGAGUACGGCCGCAAGGUUAAAACUCAAAUGAAUUGACGGGGGCCCGCACAAGCGGUGGAGCAUGUGGUUUAAUUCGAUGCAACGCGAAGAACCUUACCAUCCCUUGACAUCCAGA
Molecule: ribosomal RNA, 995 nt
Filed under: marine metagenome
Description: bacterial SSU rRNA
Rfam family: Bacterial small subunit ribosomal RNA
Source: RNAcentral